CGGUGUGAGUGAAAUGCCGGUGGAGGCCACCACAGCCGUGCCCGGGGAUACGGCACCUAUCUCAAAGAUGAUGUGAUCUGCACGCUUGCGACACCCUGCACCGUCUCCUAAGACUCCGUACAUGAGGGAGAUUGCAAAGAAAGUGAAAAAAUAAGUGAGCAGUUCUUUUUUGUUUUGGCAAUUUCGACAGUACAAUUGCAUUCGAAAACUUAAAUGCCAUGAAAUUUGGAACCUGAUGUAUAAUUGCACUUAUUGAGCUCGUACUAAAUGCAAUAAAACUCUACUAUGAUACAGUUUAUAAUACAAAUGGAUUGAAUCACAAACUCUAUACACCUUUCUGAAAUUCUAUCAAACGUUUUGUUAUUUUGUGAGGUGAUCGAUAAAGAUAGCAUGGACCUGAACGCUAUUACAUUUCUUCACCUUACUUUCUACGUGUUUUGUCUCAGAAUACUCAUUUUACUUAUGUAUGAUGGCCUAUGUACAGAAUCGUACUCAUGACCUGAACAAGUAUCAAAGUGUUGGUCGACAGGUUCUUGUUGUAAUGGGAGGUGGAUCCAAUCGAUGUCCAUGUCAAAGAAAGAGCGACGUUGACAAUGUUUUACUUCGGGUGACUGUGGAGAAUGCACAGAGGAACAUUUUGUUUUAUAUUAUUGUAUAUUUAUUUUUUGGGAAAUGUUGGUAUGUUCAAGUGAUAUUCACUGUCAAAGAAACUGUGUGAAUUUAG
This 724-nucleotide long non-coding RNA is filed under the name Olea europaea (common olive). RNAcentral's name for it is "long non-coding RNA (OEUR_LNC011175)". Lineage: Eukaryota; Viridiplantae; Streptophyta; Magnoliopsida; Lamiales; Oleaceae. The record is from RNAcentral.